CUUCGGGUUGUAAAGCUCUGUCGUCCGGGACGAAAAGCUUUAGGGUGAAUAGCCCUGGAGUGUGACGGUACCGGAAAAGGAAGCACCGGCUAACUCCGUGCCAGCAGCCGCGGUAAUACGGAGGGUGCAAGCGUUGCUCGGAAUUAUUGGGCGUAAAGGGCAGGUAGGUGGUCUUAUUUGUCCGGGGUGAAAUCCUUGAGCUUAACUCAAGAAGUGCCCCGGAGACGGUGAGACUAGAGUUCUGGAGAGGGUCGUGGAAUUCCCGGUGUAGCGGUGAAAUGCGUAGAGAUCGGGAGGAACACCAGAGGCGAAAGCGGCGACCUGGACAGUGACUGACACUCAACUGCGAAAGCGUGGGGAGCAAACAGGAUUAGAUACCCUGGUAGUCCACGCUGUAAACGAUGGGUACUAGGUUUGGCGGGUCUUGACCCCUGCUGAAUCGGCGCUAACGCACUAAGUACCCCGCCUGGGAAGUACGGUCGCAAGACUAAAACUCAAAGGAAUUGACGGGGGCCCGCACAAGCGGUGGAUCAUGUGGUUUAAUUCGAAGCAACGCGAAGAACCUUACCUGGGUUUGACAUCCUCUGACAGCCGUAGAGAUACGGUUUUGGUAGCAAUACCACAGAGAGACAGGUGCUGCAUGGCUGUCGUCAGCUCGUGGGGUGACCUGUUGGGUUAAGUCCCGCAACGAGCGCAACCCUUGUCCUUAGUUGCCAGCAUUUAGUUGGGCCCUCUAAGGAGACUGCCGUGGUUAACACGGAGGAAGGUGGGGAUGACGUCAAGUCCUCAUGGCCUUUAUAUCCAGGGCGACACACGUGAUACAAUGGUCGGUACAAAGGGAUGCCAAGCGGUAACGCGGAGCUAAUCUCAAAAAGCCGAUCUCAGUUCGGAUUGGAGUCUGCAACUCGACUUCAUGAAGUUGGAAUCGCUAGUAAUCGCGGAUCAGCACGCCGCGGUGAAUACGUUCCCGGGCCUUGUACACACCGCCCGUCACACCAUGGGAGCUGACUCAACCAGAAGACGGUCAGGCUAACCGUAAGGGAGCCUCCGGCGAAGGUGGGGUUGGUGACUGGGGUGAAGUCGUAACAAGGUAGCCGU
RNAcentral lists this ribosomal RNA (1098 nucleotides) under uncultured bacterium. RNAcentral describes it as "bacterial SSU rRNA". It matches the Rfam family "Bacterial small subunit ribosomal RNA", at positions 416 to 1503 of the family's 1533-position model. The record is from RNAcentral.